RNAcentral lists this long non-coding RNA (523 nucleotides) under Marmota monax (woodchuck). The record is from RNAcentral. Lineage: Eukaryota; Metazoa; Chordata; Mammalia; Rodentia; Sciuridae.
GUCCCAGUCAGGACACAGCAUGGCCAUGAGGGCCCCUGCUCAGCUCCUGGGGCUCCUGCUGCUCUGCCUCCCAGGUAAGGAGGGGCAGCACUGGAUAUUAUUCAGCCCUGUGUGGUCAGUGCUGAUGGGAUCUUGAGGGAAAUCCUCUUAUAACACUAUUAAUUGUGCAUACAUUUCUUUUCAUGUGUCUAACUUCAGGUGCCAGAUGUGACAUCACAAUGACCCAGUCUCCAUCCUACCUGUCUAAAUCUCCAGGAGAAAGAGUCACCAUGACAUGCAGGGCAAGUCAGGGCAUCAGCAGUUACUUAAACUGGUACCAGCAAAAACCAGGUCAAUCUCCUAAGCGUCUCAUCUAUGGUGCAUCCAAUCUGCAAUCUGGUGUUCCCUCGAGAUUCAGUGGGAGUGGAUCUGGGACAGAUUUCACUCUCACCAUCAGCAGCCUGGAGCCUGAAGAUUUUGCCACUUAUUACUGUUUACAGUAUGAUAAGCUCCCUCCCACAGUGAUACAGGCCAUGACAAAAAC